Molecule: ribosomal RNA, 406 nt
Filed under: uncultured bacterium
Lineage: Bacteria
Description: partial 16S ribosomal RNA
Rfam family: Bacterial small subunit ribosomal RNA
Source: RNAcentral
AUUGAACGCUGGCGGCAGGCUUAACACAUGCAAGUCGAACGGGUGGCGGACGGGUGAGUAAUGCUUGGGAAUCUUGCUUAUGGAGGGGGAUAACUACGGGAAACUGUAGCUAAUACCGCGUACCAUAGGAUGAGCCCAAGUGGGAUUAGGUAGUUGUGGGGGUAAAGGCUCACAAAGCCCACGAUCUCUAGCUGGUCUGAGAGGAUGACCAGCCACACUGGGACUGAGACACGGCCCAGACUCCUACGGGAGGCAGCAGUGGGGAAUAUUGCACAAUGGGCGCAAGCCUGAUGCAGCCAUGCCGCGUGUAUGAAGAAGGCCUUCGGGUUGUAAAGUACUUUCAGUCGGGAGGCGUUACCGACAGAAGAAGCACCGGCUAACUCCGUGCCAGCAGCCGCGGUAAUUC